GGGGGGGAGGGCGCGGCAAGCGUGGGCUGAGAGAAGACAGGAAGGAAGGGGAAGUGCGUGGGGAAGGCGAAGAGGCAGACCGUGAGAAAAGCUCUCCGCUCAGGUGUGGCUGCACCGAAGGUGGAGGGACUGCAAGCGUUGAGCUCCGCGUGCUGGUGCACACUUAUAACCUCAGUGCCAAGGAAGCUGAGGCCAGCCUGAGCUACGUAUGUAGUGAAAACCAAAAAUAGGAGGGGAGAUGUAGCUCGGUUGGGAGAGGUUUGCUGAGUAUCCUCAAAACUCCGGGCUGGAUCCCAGCACUGUGUAAACAAGGUAUGGCAGGGUCAGCCUUUAAGCUUAGCAUGUAGGAGACAGGGGAUCAGACGGGUCACCUUAAGCUACAUAAUGAGACCCGGCCUCAAAGGGACACCACAAGAUAGGAAGUGACUCGAAAGGAAAUCCACCUAGGAAAGGGCGUGCUGCAGAAGCUGAGGGAAGAAAGUAAGACCGGAAGGAAGGGCUGAGGGGGAGGUCAAGCGCAGGCGGAGGUCUCAGGAGCUCAGUGGGGAAAAGUUUAAACACAGUGAGUUAACGUGAAGGCCAAAGUUAGGUUUUAAAUUAACGAUUAUUGUCCCUAUGAAAGCGGUAGAACAAAAAAUGCCUCUAACCUGAAAGCCCCACUUGCCCCAAACAGAUAACCUCAUGUAAUGCUGGAGGCUGUUGUUCACGUUAGAUAACCAGCCACCAGCUCCCACUCCUGUAAAGAAGGCUGGAUGCCCCACCGGCUUGAAGGGCUGGAUCCCAGUGCACACAGGGCUAACAGGGACCCGCUGGACAGAAAGGAAGGAUGGCCUCUCUGGUAGCACCUACUGUCUCUCUCUUCAACGAGGUGAGGGAAAGGAGGGGUGUCGGCCAGCCCUUGAAGCUCUUACCACAAGAUGAAGCAGAUGCCAAGGAAAGAGUUGUGAGAUGAAAAGCAGAAGAGACUCAGAAAUGCUGCAAACCCCAGUUCCACCAUCCUCGAAGACAGAAUGGGAAAUGGGAACAAAUGGAAGGGCGCCUGUGCUUCUAGGUAUAAUCAGAGUGAACACAAGGACCUUGAGCUGGACCGUGUGAGGAGAUGGGAGCGCCAGGAGAGGAAACCAGAGACAAAAAGGCCAGGACAGCCAUUUGAUGGGACCGGAUUCCCACUAUGGUGAGCCAGUGGUCCACAAGGAUCAACAGGCCUGUCCCACUCAGCGGACCGUUGUCUAGAAUGUCAAGCAGGCCUGUUUCUGCACGGUGGCUUAUUUUAGAAAAAUGCAGGAAACCAUCCAGGACCUCUUGAAGUACCAGUCUGGCUCUGAGGCACCUAUCUGAAAGUCCACCAGGAUUAUGUGUCACAUAUGAUGUAAUUCUUGUCGGGGAAAAAUACCGAAUCAGGUCUUGCGUUUGGCAAGUCCUUCACUGACAGCCACCUAGAGGGAUGCCAAAGUCACAGCCUCGGCAUACUCUCACUUCGAGGAGACAGAACGGAAGGAAUGGAUCAGUCUUUCUAACAACUUCUGUUUCUAACUUUCCACAACACAAAGACAUGAAGAAACUUGGCAGGCUUGAGAGAUGGCUCAGUGGGCAAGAGUACCAACUGCUUUUCCAGAGGUCCUGAGUUCAAUUCCCAGUGACCUACAUGGUGGCUCACAACCAUCUGUCAUGGUAUGCAAUGCUCUCUUCUUCUUGUGGGCUUGAAGGGAGUGACAGUGUACUCAUAUACAUUAAAUAAAUCUUUAAAAAGUAAAAAUAAAGGCUGGAGAGAUGGCUCGGCGGUUAAGAGCACUGACUGCUCUUCUGAAGGUCCCGAGUUCAAAUCCAAGCAACCACAUGGUGGCUCACAACCAUCUGUAAUGAGAUUGGAUGCCUUUUUCUGGUGUGUCUGAAAACAGCUACAGUGUACUUGCAUAUAAAAAGUAAAUAAAUCUAAAAUAAAUAAAAUAAUAAAAAAAGAAACUACUUGCAUGAGC
This is a long non-coding RNA of Apodemus sylvaticus (European woodmouse), 1976 nucleotides long. RefSeq lists it as uncharacterized. The transcript has 6 exons. The record is from RefSeq and is a predicted model, not a curated record. NCBI's taxonomy places the organism in Eukaryota, Metazoa, Chordata, Mammalia, Rodentia, Muridae.